RNAcentral lists this ribosomal RNA (38 nucleotides) under Papaver heterophyllum. RNAcentral's name for it is "partial 26S ribosomal RNA". RNAcentral also lists the same sequence under 3 other names. The record is from RNAcentral. Lineage: Eukaryota; Viridiplantae; Streptophyta; Magnoliopsida; Ranunculales; Papaveraceae.
GCGACCCCAGGUCAAGCGGGACUACCCGCUGAAUUUAA